Molecule: ribosomal RNA, 427 nt
Filed under: uncultured bacterium
Lineage: Bacteria
Description: partial 16S ribosomal RNA
Rfam family: Bacterial small subunit ribosomal RNA
Source: RNAcentral
UGGGGAAUAUUGCACAAUGGGCGCAAGCCUGAUGCAGCCAUGCCGCGUGUAUGAAGAAGGCCUUCGGGUUGUAAAGUACUUUCAGCGGGGAGGAAGGUGUUGUGGUUAAUAACCGCAGCAAUUGACGUUACCCGCAGAAGAAGCACCGGCUAACUCCGUGCCAGCAGCCGCGGUAAUACGGAGGGUGCAAGCGUUAAUCGGAAUUACUGGGCGUAAAGCGCACGCAGGCGGUCUGUCAAGUCGGAUGUGAAAUCCCCGGGCUCAACCUGGGAACUGCAUUCGAAACUGGCAGGCUAGAGUCUUGUAGAGGGGGGUAGCAUUCCAGGUGUAGCGGUGAAAUGCGUAGAGAUCUGGAGGAAUACCGGUGGCGAAGGCGGCCCCCUGGACAAAGACUGACGCUCAGGUGCGAAAGCGUGGGGAGCAAACA